RNAcentral lists this non-coding RNA (31 nucleotides) under Rattus norvegicus (Norway rat). Lineage: Eukaryota; Metazoa; Chordata; Mammalia; Rodentia; Muridae. The record is from RNAcentral.
UAACAGAUAUCUUUCUAAAAAGAUAGAUGUA